This 606-nucleotide long non-coding RNA is filed under the name Equus asinus (donkey). RNAcentral's name for it is "lncRNA (ENSEASG00005028978.1)". Lineage: Eukaryota; Metazoa; Chordata; Mammalia; Perissodactyla; Equidae. The record is from RNAcentral.
AAAAAAACCCUGACAGCAGGUUUAGGGAGCCAGAAAUCUGGGGCUGAAAGACAAGAGCAAAAGAUCAGAGGGCAUGUGGGGAGGGGCAGGACAGAGCCUGGGAAGAUGGGUGAAGGCUUGUUUCUCAAGCAGUUGUCCUUCCCUCCCCCUUUCAAGAAGGUGGCCGUGCUCUCUUGUACCUGUGGCUUGAGGGAUUCUUUUGGAACGGGGAGCCCCUGAGAGCAGAAGGUGCCUGAAACCAGUGGCUCAUCCAGUCUUUAAUGAAAGCCCAAGUCCAUUGAAGUGAUGGGUGAUGCUGAGUGUUGCGGGAGAGGUGGAGCAAGAGUGCCUUUUAUUCUUUUGGGCAUCCACCCCUCAACAACCCAUGAAGUGUCUGGGGUUCCACCUUUGCCUCAAGAGAAACAGCACAUGACCUAGGCACAGGCCAAUCAGUGCAUCACAUUCCUCUUGCCUCAUGAUUGGUUCAAUGUUGUAUGACAGUGUGAGCUUUGGAGCUAUGGCAGCCAUCUUGUGACCAUGAAGGCACAAGCUGAGGAUGAAAGCCAACAUGCUGAAGAUGGCAGAGGAGGAAGACAGAAAAUGAUUCAGUCCUUGUAGACAUCAUUA